UUCAUGGCCAAAGUAGUGAAAGGCACCAAAUGGCAAUGUGUGACUGCUGUCUUAAUGAAACACAGGGUUGUCUUCAUCGGAAACACAGAGAUGUAUCGCAGCCCAGCUGCAUCCAGGUGCGAUGAGCGGAGCCUGAGGCCCUGGGUCAUUGACCCACUUUUGGUCUGUUUGAACUGCUCCUUUCUCUCCUCCUCUUUCUCCAUCCAGCAGGUGUGGCCCAUCACGCUGUGCCAGAGGUGACAGCAGCUUGAGGAAAGGUGGAGUGAGGAUAUCCUGGUGCCAACCUGAGCAGCAAAACGAGAAGUGACAGUGAAAACACUCAUUGCUUCACCAGAGCACGUAUAAAACUAAUGCUCUCUGUUAUCAUAGGUGUGUCUCUAAAGCAAGGCAGCUUCCAGCUGGAGGAGCCCGUACCCAUAAAAGUUACGUUCUUCACUGUCAUAAACUGUUGAGCUUGAUGUAGCCAUCGUUAGGGUUCAUUUCCUAGCCGGGGUUAUGCAAAGAGGCAGCCAGGACAACCACAGCAUUUGGUCCUGCAAUUACAGUGUCUGGUAUGGAGUGGUUGUCUCAAGUGCCUGGGAUUUUUCUUUUUAUUUAUUUGUAUUUCUAUUUUUCUUUAGGCAUCUCUCCAAUACUUUAUCAGACCACAGUGGCACUACUUUUAGUACAAGAAAACCAGGUCUCAUUUAACUUCGACUGAAGCAUAAAAUUAAUAAAUAAAGAACGUUAACAGUAAAGGUCAUGAAGGUGAAGGCAGAUUGUUGAGGUCUAGUGUUCAGAGGAGUCUGACAUACCUACUUUAACUAUAUUUCAAAAUUAAAAUGUAGAGAGCCUAAAAAUACAUUCCUAAAAGCUUUUUCUUAUUCCUAGGCCAGCUUCAGAGAGGCAGGAAUUUAACUCAGCAGCAGCAAAAUGGACUGCCACGUUUCUGAACUGUACUGGGAGCUCCCUUGUUCUGAGGCCAAAGCUGGUCUCAGAAAUGCAGACCCAGCAGGGUUAAGCCUUUCCAAGUCCAGUAUUUCUCAGAAAUGAACUAAAGUCCUGGUGAGUGGUCAGCACUCCUAAGCAAUGAGAGGCUGAGCAGUCAGACCAGGUGCUGCCUCUCUUUGCCACAUCCCUACAUUUAUAAAAUCUGCAGAAGCCAGUAUUUCUGAUUCUGCUGCAGCAUUAGAUAAUGCUCAGUGGCUGCUGUUGCUGCUCUCCCAUAAUUACCAGAAACAUUGCUUUAAGAAGUUACAACUUCCUGGAAUAAUGUGAAAAAUGAACCGUUUAAAGCACCAAUGAGUAAUAGGUAAUUGCAGGCUGGAGAAUCUUUAAUCACUUUCAACCUUAAGUACAUUUUUGAAGAGUGCAACUCAUUAUUACCUUGCAGAUCUUGAUGGAGUUGUACAUUUCUGGUAGCUGAGAUUACAAAUUAAAUAAGAAUUUUGUAUACAGGUGGUACUGGUUGGCAAUUACGGCACAGCCUGGUCCCCAGGCACAGAGGCUUAACUCCCUGCUCUGCUGCAGGCUUUUGUUUGACCAUGGAAAGGUUAUGGAGACGUUUGUGUGCGGAGAGUGUAGUGCUGCGGUGCCUACCAUUUCAGGUCCCCUAAAACCUGGGUCCUGUGAGAUCUGAUCCCUAAGGCAUAUAAAUGUAUAAUGAGAAAAAGAGUGACCCAUGAGACAUUGUGUGUAGACUAAGAAUUAUGGAUGGUAGCCAGCAGAAAAGGUUGCACAUCAGCUUCAUUGCUGCCCAGAGAAAGUGCUGAACAACUUCUGGGACCUCCAGCCAAGAGCUCGCUGAGUCCUGUUGUUGAUUUAGCUCUGCAUUUCCUGUGGUACAAUUUUUGAUCUAUAAAAUGAAGAUAAUAAGUAUCUUCUUAUGUAUGCAAGUAAGUACAUUGAUACAAGGAGCUCAGCUCUAGCUUUCAAGUGGUGUAUAUGUAGACAUUUAAUAGAAAAAGGGUGAAAUGGACAUUUUGAUAUCCACACAGCAUGUUUUGCAGAGCUUGGGCAUGCUCUGUCCCUGUGCAAUAUGGAAUCUAGGAGUAACCAGGACUGGAGUGACUGAGUUUCCUUUACAGAAGGCUCCCAGACCCCCCGAGUGAUGCCCUUCCCACCCUUUUUCUCAGUGCCUGCCCCUCUCUUCUCCCAUCUACUGGCUGCUCUUUCUCCCCCAGCAUGAAUAUCAGCCAGCAUGUUCUCAGCUAAGGCAAUAUUUCAGCCUGAAACUUUGAAAGUGAAGAAACCACACCACUUGGCUGUAGUGAAGAGGAGAGAUGAAGCCAUGCUCCGGCCGCAGGCAGAUGCCCUCAACCUUCAUUGCAUAUUCCUGAGAGCAAAGGGAGUCCUCUUCCCCCUCCUCUUGUGGCAGUGAAAGCCCGAAUGGGAAGGACCGAUCCUCUGCUUGUAGCAGUGCACGGGGAGGUGUGAUGCCACAGGUCCUCAGCAAUGAAGAGAUAUUGCAGUGCAGCGUUUCUCUGGAUUACUCUGCCACAUAUGUCGAGUCGGAACACCGAGGAUAUAAAUCUGCCAUAAACCUUUGGCCUUAUUUCAGCCAGUUUAUGCAUUAUCUGAAGUCCGUGUAGCAGCAAAUUGCACUGGAAGCUAUUCUUCUGGAUUUCCUAUUUGUGCAAUACAAGGUGAUGUGAAUUUGAAUUCACAGCAAUGAUCUCAUCAGGUUUGCUAUAGGUAAUUAUAUGCAGACAUACAAGAUCUUCCUCUAGAACAUGUCUAUGGAUGGUCUGCAAACAAAAUUGAAGUUUACCUCCCACAGGUAAGUUGUUUGUUUGUUUGUUUGUUUUAAAUAUGGCCCUAUGCAUAUGGGCUCCACAUUUUGCAUACUUAAUUUGGCUAUUAAAAUCAAUCAUGUCUUGAGUUCCUCCAGACAAAAACCACCUCUCUAAAUUGACCCAUACUGCGAUAUUAAGUUGCAAUGUUGAAUCUCCUAGCUAGCCAACUGUGCUGUUUAAUUAGGGUGCCUUUCCAAAUCACCUUCAAUAGCAUCAUUGUAACAUAUGGGUUGAGAUUUAGCCAUACGGUCCAAACACAGAAACAAAGCACAUCGCUAAUUGUCUGAACACACAGAGAGGCACAGCACAGGCGCUCAGAUAGGCAGAGAUAGAAUGACAUGUCCUGUUUUGUAGGAACAGCAUAUUUAUUUAUUUUUAAUAUAAUUUAUGCAUUUAUAAUAAACAGCAGUGUUUUAUUGCUGGAGAGAGAUGUUCAGAGUUUAAAAUCCACUUGCAUUGCUCACUAGUCUAGUUGACUUAGGCUGUCCUUGGAAAUGCAGGGCUGCCUUUGAACUAAUCGCCAAAGCACUGUAGGAAGGACGUACAUGCAGCAAAGGUUUUACUUUGGGUGGGCCUUUUCCAAAGGUUGUAGUUUCCUUCUACUUGGAGUUUCAGCUGAAUGAGUGCGGCCAAGUUGCAAAUAAUCAUUGCCUUUUCCUGUAUUCAUGGCGGACCAAAUCCUACAACCCUCUGCAAAGCACAGUCUGCACUUACUUGUAAACACACCUUGAAAGUGGAUGGUUUAUUCAACAAGGGAAUAAUAAGCCUCAAGCAGAACAUUUCCUUUCCUUCUUUAUGCACAGGCAACCAUUUAUUUUCUUCCAAUAUGUAAGAUGAAGAGACUGCAGUCCAGUCAGUCACUUUGAUAGGAUAACAGAGCGAACAGGUAGUGAUGUCAAAAAAGAGAAGCUGUUACUUAAAUUAAAUUAAUGACAGUUUUAUAAAGAAUAUGGAACUGUAUGAACCACUGAGGUACAUAGAUCAAAAAAUACAUUAAUCUGAGUAGGUACCAGUCUAGUUUCAGGGGUGAUUUGUGUGUCAUACACGAUCAGCUUGAGAUUAAGAAAAUAUGUAUUACUUUUAUGUGGGUCAUGGUUAUCAAAGAAGUCUGAGAGUGUUUCAGGGAGACUGUGUGUCAGUAAAUGCCUACAAAAAUCUUUUCCUGAUUUAUUAAUUUGAAAUAGUGUCCAGAGGUAUUAGUCAAGGUCAAGGGCCAUUUCUUAUUAAGUAUUUCUAGACCUCCCUGGUAAAGAUGUUAAAAACAAAUCUUAAUAUUAUUUACUUCUUACUAUAGCAACAUAAACUGAUCUUCCCCAGCCAGCAAGAGCUAAUUAGAGUUUUAAUAUUGAAAAGUUAAUCUUAUCUCAGAGUUGUUCAUCAGACUCCUCCACUUUAAACUUGUAUUGAAAAGAGACACGAAGCACUUGCCAUACCUUUCAAAGCCAGAACCUGAGUAAAAAUCUGGGAUUGUACUUGAGUCAGUCACUUUGGAAGUCUCUGUGUAUUCACCAAGGAUUUUUCCCUGUUUUAACAUUGGUGUCUUUAUCUGGACUAAGCCAAAGACAGUAAAAAUGUCCCAAUUUCAAAUUCUCCAAAUAACUCCUUCUCUUUGUUUUCCCAUUGCUAUUAAACACAGACAGCAGUAGAAUAGGGGCAACGAAAGCAAUCCAAGCUGGAAAGUUUGGCCUUUCAAGGAAGAUUAAAUUUUGUUUACCUGCAAGGCUGCCAACUGUCCCACAUUCAAAGGGCUGUGGGAACCACUGAGUCUUUGUGGCUAGAAAUCUCAAAUCCCCCUUUACCAAAGAAAUAGAGGGCAUCACAUACAGGCCUCACUUGCAUGGGAAGUUUGCUCAAGCCUUCAGUCUCCUGGGACCGGCAAGGAAAGGAGUUUGCAUGUGGCCCUGAGAAACAGAAAGCAGGAAUGGAGACUCCAGGGACCAAGGAUCCCCGCCUGUCCAGGAAAAUCUCCAUGCCAGCAGUAUGGAACUUGAAGGUGGGAUACACUGGAUAUAUUUGGCGGGUUAAUUACUUGUGAUUCACCCCCAGUUUCUUUCAAAACUUCAACUUUAAAGACUGUCUUGUUUUAUCAAGAUAGUAUUCUGUGACAGCUUUUUUAGUAUUCUCGGGGGUACAAACAGCACACAGUGGCCGAUCUUUCUUCAGAAACAGUAAGGGAAGUAAGUGGUAUAUACUUAUAACCUAAAAAUAAUGCUUAUUGCUUUUGCAUCUUAAUUUAGCACUGGUUAGCUGAUAUUUUUCACAUAUGUAUUUAGAACACAAGGAACAGCUCUGGCCGCCUGAGUAGAUUUUGUCACUGAGUUUCAGGAAAUGAAACAACUUUAUUAACCUCAGAAAAAGAGGACAACUGAAUGCAAGGAAUGCUGCAAAAAAAAUGAAAUUGUGAUUUUAAAAUUCAGUGAUGUAGAAAAUGACAAUGAGACUCAAACAUACAUGAGAUGUUAAAGAGCCCAGAUUGCCCGUUGGUAGCUGCAUACAUGAAAAGUCAACACAGAAAUCAAAUAUAAAAAUACCAAUGUGUUCUGGAUUAGUGGAAACAAGUCACCCUUUGAGAAGAGGAGGCAGCAUUUCUUCACGCUUUCAACAGCUGCCCACUUGCAGAGCAUCACGUACUUUGCGGUAUUUCAAAAAAACAUUGGCGUGAGGUCUUUUGUGUAAGUAGUAACAGAUCUCAGGUUUCUCAGCAGUACUUCCAGCUGUGAAACUUAAUUUUUUUCCUCCUUUAAAUUCACCUGAAAUGGCAUUGUCCUUGCUUAUAGCCAGUCCUUUCCAUCCAAUACUAAUAGAAUUGGCUGCAAGAAGGAGCAAGGCUGAAAAAAGAAUUGAGAGGACGGUGUCCCAGGGCAUACUGCACUGCCUGUCAGCUGUUCUCUUACCUUCAAAGAGGCAAAGUCAGGAGUAAAUGUUUUAUAGCACUGGAAAAGUUACCAAAGAAACAGUAUGGAGGCUAUACCAUCAUUACAGAUCCCCUGUUGGACCUAGCCUUUGAAGAAAGGAUGGCGGGACUGAACAGAGGCUGUGGAAAUCCUGAGUUGGUUCCCAAGGCCAGCAAAGGCUCUGUGAUUCACAGGGAAAAAUCUCAGCCUCUCUCUAUUCAGUUGCCUAUGCAUAAAACCCAUAAAACUCUUUGAAGUAGAAGAGACCUCCCAUUAUUUUUGUUUUGGUUUGGUUUUCUUAAGGGAGAUUGCCCCUUGGCUGAGCCCUGUUGUGAAAUAGUUUGCUUCAGAGCAGUGCACAGACCCCGGUGCUUGUGUUGCCUUGUUCUUAGGACAUUUUGAACAUUUUACUUUUCUUCAAAGGAUGUUUUUUUCUUUGAGAUUAAGCCAUUUGUUUAAGAGUAUUUCAUAUUCUCUUCUUUCUGCUUGGAAAAGCUCUCAAUAAGAGUCAUGGUAUAAAUACGGUUUGUAAAUGAAACAUAGGCCUGGAUCAAUACCCUUCUCCUUGCCGCAGGGUAGCAUAAUAACUGGAAGAUGUUCUCAUAAUUGUUAUGAGGACCGGGGAUUCUUUCAUUUAUGCUAGUGAAAUGUGUUGUUAAGUCAUCUGAUCAUAUGAGUUGAGUCUGAGGUUUCUGUACUUGUGGCAAAAUGGCAAUAUUCCUAAAGCAUCUUACAGUCAGCAGUUUCAGAGGACAGGUUAUUUGCAAAAUAGCCUCCACAUUAUAAUCCACUGACACAUAAAUCUGCUGCUCCCUAACUUCCAGCUCUGGCCCUUCCAAAUCCAAAAUUAAAUGGCUUCUACCCCAAGAGCUGAAUUGUCACCUAAACUGCAGUGCUUGAGAGAUUUGCUGUUACUGAGGAAAUUGGUCUCCUAUAUAUUUCCAUUGGAUAAUUUCCCAAGGACCUAUCUUCAGUGCAUGUUAAUACAGUAUAUUGCAACGUUGUAGCUUUUGGGUAGUCUAAUAGACAUGUAAUCUUAUUUUAGCAGAAACCCGGAUGCUCACAGACUUACUUGUCCAGCGCAGUAAUUUGCCCUACAAAUAGGCUCCCUGAAAUCAAUAGGAAACCUUGUGUAGGUAUUGUUUAGUAUAUGAAAGUAUAUUCACACCUCAUUAGCUUAUACAUAUGACUUCAGCAGAGUUACUUCUUGACUUCUAUUAUGGCAAAGCUCAUGCCCUUUUCUAGUGAGCAAUGUAUUUUUUCUUUGUGUAAUAGAAAAAAUGCGAAAAUUGCAUUUGAGCACGGUGACUUUCCAACACAUUUCAGGCGUUCUUAACCCAUGUUCAUGAAAUCCCACCUGGUCAGAGGAUCUUACUCACAAUUACUUAUUUCUAUAGUUAUUCAUCCUUAAGGUGAACUCCUUGCUACAUAUGGCACCACUUCUGCUCCCCCAUAGUGAGCUGUUGGCCAAUUUUUGUCUUAGACCAUUUCAGAUAGGAGAGGAAAAAAAAUGGUAAAUUAUGUCUAUUUCUUAGUGUAACCAUGUUCAUUUCUUAGAUUGUGCUACCCAUCUCGCACUUCCCUGAGAACACUGGAAAAAAGCAGCAGACACCAUUUCCCCUAGUUGUCCUCUCACCAGCUUCCUUUUGAUCUUCCAUAAUUGCUUUUUUCGCCCUGAAACUUCUACAGAUUUAUGGAUAUGGGGUACACUUUGCUGCUGAACAAAUCGAAGUAGGCAUCUCUGAAAGACAUGACUGCAACUUGUCCCUGGCUUUUAUUUGCAGUACAGGAUGAAAACUGGGGCAGUGACAAGUAUUUACCUCAGCAGGUGGAGUGAAGAUCACCCUCUGCUCUGUUGUUUCCCUUACACUCAUCACAGGAGCCGCUAACAUGAGUGGCUUUUCUUUAGCAUUGCUAUUGUGCUGUGCAACGCAGUUGUCAUGUUCAAAUGUUAUCACAAGUACCAUUCUUGCCAUACCUGGACUUUCCACUCAUAUCAAAGAGGCUUUUCAACACACACCUGUGAACAAUCUCAAAUGGGACCUUUCCCUGACCUGUGACAAGCAAGCUCACAUCUUAACUAUCACAUGCUGGCACUUGCAAUUGCCGGGGGUGCGAUGCUUUAGGAUCACCUUGGCCUAUCAAGAAGGCCAGUGCCCAGCAGUUUCACUCUGAUGAGCAAGGCCAGGGACCCUGUAUAGUAGUCUGACUAUUUGUAGAUGCACUGCAUGGUCUCAAGCUCGUGUAUGCUCAGCUCUCACCCGGAUAAAGUAGCCUGUGAUGAAUUCCACAGCAACAGGCAGUAAAGAGAAGCAGUGUGAAUGGGGUUUGGACAACCAGAUCAAAUAACUCUAGAGAGCACUUGAAGCAGCCUGUCAAGAAAAUGUGGCCGUGCAUGAGUUUCAGAAGGCUCACUGGCCUCUCUAUUGCUCCUUGUAGUAAACUAUUCUCUCCUGCAACAAGCGCUCUGCUGGCAAAAGAUGUCAAAGCAGGUCAGGUGCCAAAAUCAACCCCCACUCCCUUUAUUCAGUUUGCCAAAUACAGCUAUAAUAAUGAACUGCAUUCAUUUAGUACAGGUCUCUCUUACCUUGUGUUUGAUUUUAUGUAAUAGAUGUACUACAGAUAAAAUAGGUGCAAAUAGUACUUCAUUGUAAUCCAAUGGUAUGGAGAACUUAAAAUAAUACACACUAAUAAUGAAAGCAGUUUUAGACAUGUACAGAUUCAAACCCACUUAAGGAAACUAGCUAUAAAUCUCUUUUAUUUGCAUUGGUAUGGUAUAUUUUACCCUUAUUUAUUAGGUAAGGCUCACACUUGUUUGAACUGCCUCUCUUCUAUUUAUUGUGACUUAGUUCCUUUGCCAUAGCCUUAGAGUCUAUCUUUAUAGAAAGAACUAUUGGACUGUGUCCCAUUCAGGAAAAGCAAAACACAUUAGGAUUUUUGCAGCCUCAGUCAGUUGAAACAACAGUAACUCUCCUACCCAGGCAUGUAUUACCACCUAACACUCACAAAUGUAAAUGGAGGAGUUUUACCACAUACUGUAUAGCAAAUUAUACUGAGAUUUUUUUUUUUUUCAGCCAAAAUACCUGCGAUGGAGAAACAGAAAUAAAAAUUUCAAGGAAGAUAUAAAGAAGCAGCAAAGCUUAGGACACAACCUGAACAAAUAGUGGCAUUGUGGGCUUGCUGAAAGCCAAAACAUAGAGCUUUUUUCACUGAGUGCUGGCGCAGGGAGGCUUGGGGUGGUAUAUAAAAGUACUUUCUCCUAUGACUUGAUUUCUGUGGUAACAAUUAGGAUUUUAUGUUAUUUUCAGAUAAAUAGAACUACAUCAAAGACA
Non-coding RNA from Phalacrocorax carbo (great cormorant), 9000 nucleotides. Lineage: Eukaryota; Metazoa; Chordata; Aves; Suliformes; Phalacrocoracidae. The record is from RefSeq and is a predicted model, not a curated record.